RNAcentral lists this ribosomal RNA (829 nucleotides) under uncultured bacterium. Its description in RNAcentral is "bacterial SSU rRNA". It matches the Rfam family "Bacterial small subunit ribosomal RNA", at positions 33 to 853 of the family's 1533-position model. The record is from RNAcentral.
ACGCUGGCGGAAUGCUUUACACAUGCAAGUCGAACGGCAGCACGGGAGCUUGCUCCUGGUGGCGAGUGGCGAACGGGUGAGUAACACGUCGGAACGUAUCCAUGUAAUGGGGGAUAACGCAGCGAAAGCUGUGCUAAUACCGCAUACGCCCUCCGGGGGAAAGCAGGGGAUCUUAGGACCUUGCGUUAUUGGAGCGGCCGACGUCUGAUUAGCUAGUUGGUGGGGUAAAGGCCUACCAAGGCGACGAUCAGUAGCUGGUCUGGGAGGAUGAUCAGCCACACUGGAACUGAGACACGGUCCAGACUCCUACGGGAGGCAGCAGUGGGGAAUUUUGGACAAUGGGGGCAACCCUGAUCCAGCCAUUCCGCGUGAGUGAAGAAGGCCUUCGGGUUGUAAAGCUCUUUCGGCAGGGAAGAAACGAUUCUGGCCAAUACCCGGGAUUAAUGACGGUACCUGAAGAAGAAGCACCGGCUAACUACGUGCCAGCAGCCGCGGUAAUACGUAGGGUGCGAGCGUUAAUCGGAAUUACUGGGCGUAAAGCGUGCGCAGGCGGUUUUUCAAGUCUGAUGUGAAAGCCCCGGGCUUAACCUGGGAACUGCGUUGGAAACUGAAAGACUAGAGUGCGGCAGAGGGGGGUAGAAUUCCACGUGUAGCAGUGAAAUGCGUAGAUAUGUGGAGGAAUACCGAUGGCGAAGGCAGCCCCCUGGGUCGACACUGACGCUCAUGCACGAAAGCGUGGGUAGCAAACAGGAUUAGAUACCCUGGUAGUCCACGCCCUAAACGAUGUCAACUAGUUGUUGGGGAGGGAGACCUCCUUAGUAACGCAGCU